AUCCGGUGCUGUUCUUCGUUUUAGUCUUUCCGUUUUUCCUUUAUAAAUUGUUGAUUUAAAUUAGCUUAAUGUGUUGAUAAAUAGUCGUAUACUUCAUGUUAUGCCUUUUAUUUUUUCUUUGGUGUCAGCAUUGACCUGAUCGAUGUCAGAAAGUCAUCGCUAGGUUACACUUUGCUUAUUCUAGUUAUUUUUCAUCCUCUAUUUCACUGUAACAAAUUUUCUUCUUGUGUUUAUACCGUAAGUUUCUAUGAUCGAUAUUCUUGUGAUAACAAAUGAAAUAAUAAACUCAAUUUUCUUCUAA
This is a non-coding RNA of Biomphalaria pfeifferi, 301 nucleotides long. The record is from the annotation of a GenBank genome assembly. NCBI's taxonomy places the organism in Eukaryota, Metazoa, Mollusca, Gastropoda, Planorbidae.